ACUUGUCUUCCGCAGCUUCCCUUCAACACGACGGCAUUUCGCCGCAGCCGGACAUUGUUAACUACGUCACGGGGACGCUCGCGCCUUUCCCCCGACAGUAAACACGCCUCGUAAGCUCUAGGAGCUCAACAAAACUAUUCAGCGCAGGAUUAUACGUACAGUCAUUGUGUGCUUUUCUUUUUGUUGAUUGUGACUCAGUUUGAGUAAUGCCGUCUGGCGGUUUGAUUUCCUGAGGGAAAGAAAGGAGGCGCAUGGACUUAUAUAAGGGGCUGAGACGCACGUCGAAAGCAGUUCCAGAUUACAGCUCUCUUGAACAGGCACCAUGAUUAGCCCCAAGAUCAUCAUAGCAGCGCUCGUAGUUUUGGCCCUGAUGAUUGUGAUGGCCAGCGCACAGUUCGGCCCAGUCAUGGGGCCCGCCUACGGAGUCGCCGCGCAACCCGCGCAGCCCGCACAACCAGUGUACGCCGCUGUGCCCGUGCGGCCGAUAUACAAGGGGCCGUUCGGAGGCAUGAGCCCGUACGCGUACGGAAUGGGACGGCGCUGAGCUCUUCCAAGACGUCAGGGCCACCGAUGUGGACGUCGUGAAUGCAGAAAUCACAAGCACAGAGCUGCUGCGACAAACAACUGGAACUUCCUCAGUCACAAACAAGCUGCCCGAUUAAUGGGUCUACUAGAAGCCUGCUCCGCUUUGUAUACGAAUUAUUUGUCAAUUCUUGUUAAGUAAAUAAAUGCGUCAUUCUUUAC
This 744-nucleotide long non-coding RNA is filed under the name Dermacentor andersoni. RNAcentral describes it as "uncharacterized LOC126530552". Lineage: Eukaryota; Metazoa; Arthropoda; Arachnida; Ixodida; Ixodidae. The record is from RNAcentral.